GACGAACGCUGGCGGCGUGCUUAACACAUGCGAGUCGAACGGAAAGGCCCUGCUUUUGUGGGGUGCUCGAGUGGCGAACGGGUGAGUAACACGUGAGUAACCUGCCCUUGACUUUGGGAUAACUUCAGGAAACUGGGGCUAAUACCGGAUAGGAGCUCCUGCUGCAUGGUGGGGGUUGGAAAGUUUCGGCGGUUGGGGAUGGACUCGCGGCUUAUCAGCUUGUUGGUGGGGUAGUGGCUUACCAAGGCUUUGACGGGUAGCCGGCCUGGGAGGGUGACCGGCCACAUUGGGACUGCGAUACGGCCCAGACUCCUACGGGAGGCAGCAGUGGGGAAUAUUGCACAAUGGGCGGAAGCCUGAUGCAGCAACGCCGCGUGCGGGAUGACGGCCUUCGGGUUGUAAACCGCUUUCGCCUGUGACGAAGCGUGAGUGACGGUAAUGGGUAAAGAAGCACCGGCUAACUACGUG
RNAcentral lists this ribosomal RNA (468 nucleotides) under uncultured bacterium. RNAcentral's name for it is "partial 16S ribosomal RNA". It matches the Rfam family "Bacterial small subunit ribosomal RNA", at positions 28 to 507 of the family's 1533-position model. The record is from RNAcentral.